Molecule: long non-coding RNA, 4017 nt
Organism: Serinus canaria (Common canary)
Lineage: Eukaryota; Metazoa; Chordata; Aves; Passeriformes; Fringillidae
Exons: 4
Source: RefSeq, a predicted model, not a curated record
GGGCACGGCUGCGGCCGAUAGGAGACUCCUUAAUCCGACAUCCUGUUCUGCCGCAUAGCUGCUCGCUGACAGCGGAGCCCUGAGCCCAGCCUUGCACUCGAGAUGGCAUGGAGGAUGUGCCAGGAGUCAAAUGAUGCAGAGAAAACUUCCCAGUGCCCUGGGAGGACUUUGGCAGCCUCACAGCCCUGCUGAGCCUCACCCUGUUCCUAAACACGAGGGCACAAGUGACUCAGGGCUGGCCCUGAAGGAAAAGCAUCCACAGGCGUCACUGAUAAGAUUCCUGUCAAGAAAGGAGCUGGAGAAGGGAGCUGAAGUGUUCCCAUUGCUUGCUUACCAUUAACACCAGAAGUGAGAAGGCAGCUCUCAAGCUUUAAUAGUUCCCCAACAUUUUCCUUAAGAUUUAAUUAAAAAUAAUAAACAAGGGCACUGAGGCCCUGGACAGCCUGAUUUUGUUAACUCCUCUGUUGUACUCCUGUUUCAGGGGGGAGUUGGUGCUCAGACAGCUGAAACAGCAGGAGUGAUUUCACCCAAUUUGAAGGAUUUUAUUUGGAACAAACCCGACGGCAGUUUUAGAGCUGGAUGCAAAGUUUGAUUUAAAAUGCAGGCAGACAUUUAAUUGCAUGGCAGCUGCAAUUUUCCAAACAGCAAGCUGACAACUUUUAGUUCCUCUUCUGGAGAGUUUCCUUGGCUGGGAGGCUGCCAGGGCUGGCCCAUGGGUGGGUUCUGCAGUGAAAUCAGGCACACACAGAUGAUUCAGCACUCGUGUGUCAGUCUGAUUGCUCAGAACCUCCCCCAGCAGCACAGAACUUCUGCUCUCCUCAUCCUGCCCAGAGGACAAACACAGCACUGUGGGGUCAGAGAGGUUCCAGCCUCCCUGGGGGUUGGCUGCCCCAGAACAGAUCCCAGUUGCAGAGCUGGGAUAUUCCCCAGGAGAGCAGGAUGGGCACAGGACAUUGUCCCCAAGCUGUCACAAUGGCACCCCUGUGACUGUGCUGGUUUGAGGGGCACCAUGGAACAGGAUGUUCCUUGUCUCAGUGCCCUCCCCAGAAACUGCUCUUUUGAUAGGAGCUUACUCAGAACUUCAGAGUUAGGUUUGUCCUUCAGAAAUUCCAGUUAUUACUGAUUUUCUCCCCAGAUUGCUCUUUCAGUCUAGUGCAUCCAUGGAGUGGAUCUGGUAAUACUGGACACAAAUAUUUGUGAAGUUGGCUUAAUUAUUUGUAUAUUUCAGUGCAUAAAGGAUUCUGGAGGAUGUAAAACUCUCUUUACAGCUGAGUCCUGAUAUCUCAGGUACCCCAUUUCAUAGAAUCCCAGAGUGGUUUGGUGUGGAAAGGACCUUGAAGCUCAUCUCAUCCCCUUCUGAUAUUCAGAGUUCAUCCCACCACUAGAAGGAUGCCGUUUCUGGGAUAAUUCCCUGGCUGUGUCAUUAAGGGCAAGAAAAUCCCAGUUAAAACAUACUAAAAAACACUCUAAUAAGAAUUUUUAAAAAGAAAAAAAAGUUGUACUUUAUCCAGACUUUAUGUUUUAAAUAAUGCAGAUACUUUUUGUCUGGGAAAGUUUAGGAGAGUGAGGAGGAAUUCUUGCAGUCAAGGACUUGUUCUUGGUCAGCCUGUAACAAUAUCAACUUUUACAACCACGAAUUACAGGUAUAUCUUUUUUAACCAAAGAGAUUUUAUUUUUCUAGGCAACAAAAGAGAACAUCCAAGCAGUGAUAGUGACACGUCUCCCUCCAAGGGAACUGAUUCUCUGGUAGCAGAUUCCCAAUGCAAACAUGAUCUAGCAAAGCUCAACACUCUGGAUUAAAUAAAGCUCAUUUUUCAAAUACUGCAACUGAGAAAUACCAGGGGGAAAAAGAAAAAAAAAAAAAAAAGUUUCACACACUUUGAGAAAUCCAUCCAGGACACAAAGCUAAAAUCUAAGGGUUGCUCCCCAAAGUCAAGGCAGACAAUAAAUAUGGAUCUUCCACGUGUGUUUCAGACACCUGGUGCACCUCUCUGAGGUAGGUAUUGUGUCCAUGUGACAGAUGGCAAAGGGGGAGGCUCAGCUCCUUGUCCCAGGCAUGGCCCUGCUGCCCUGGGAGAGCUGAGAGCACACCUGGGGCUCACCAGGCUCUUGCUCUCCUUCCUAGCCACUAUUUCAGCUCAAGGAGUUAGAACACAGUGUCAUCUUCAAGUUCCUUUGAACUGUCAGCUACUUCUGGAGGGGUUUAAGCAUCAGCUUCUGCAGGGCUGGGUUAAUGUUGGGUUUUGGGGGGUUUUAUCUCCUUUUCCUAAUGACAGGCUCAAAGCAGAGCAGGGUUUAACACUGGAGGCUAAGUGGGUUUCUGUAGGGAACUCCCAACAGUGCUAAUGUGUGUUUUAUACUGAAUUAAAAACAAACCCAGGUCCACAGUGCUCUGGGUGAUCCUGGGCUGUUUCAUUAUUCAUGCCUUAAUUCAGCAAAGCACUUAAGUAAUUAUGUUCUUUCUUCAGUACAACCCUCCUGUAUUUCAGGAUCCAACUGGGAGCCUCUGCUGAGAAUCCUAGAAAUGGGAUUUUUGCAGAAAAGGUGGUAUGGCUGCACCAGUUUGGGCAGGUGCCUGAGGGAACAGAGCCCUUUCAAACUGGGUUUUAGGUUAAACCCACGUGCAAAGUGGGUUUAUUUCUGCCUCAGUCUGAGCAUGCUCCUUCUUGUUCCCCAGCCUAAAAGUACAAGGAAGGUCACUCAAAACAGUAACAGAAGAAUGGCAGGCAAAGGCUAUUUUAAAAUUCAAGAAACAAGGAUGUGUUGCAGGCAUUUCAAAGAAAAAUAAAAUAAAACCAAAAUCCCCUUCAGUAAUAUGCACCUUUACAGCACCUUUUAAAAGCCCUCAAAAGCACUUCCUGUCAAGCUUCACUGUGAGGUAAAAUAAUUCCAAUUAACCCAAUUUUACCUUCCCUGAUUCUGAACAGUCCAAGGAGUGGGGCACUUCCCCCAGCUUAUUUUCAUCUGAAUAUUCAGCUGUGAUAUCUCAUUAUCACAAUGAAAGUCUUGCUACUCCACAGGCAGUGGUGACAAAUCAAACACAUUAAGGCAGAAAGCAGAUGGAAUUUCAAGCCUCCCUUCUGGCUCUGGCCUUCAGAGGGCAAAACUUUUGACCAGCAAAGAGUGAGAACUCAACCUUAAAGUGCUCAUUCACAGUAUUUGGAAACUGGAACAGCUUAGUAACACCAUGGCCUUAAUUGGCUCAAGUAAAAUAUUCAAUGCAUUUAACAGAUGCAAAUUAAGUCACUUCCCUAACUACUCACUUCCCUCUUGCAGGAAUUUCCAAUGCUAUUAUGAAGAAGAAUCCCAAGUAUUCCAGGAAACAUGCUUAUGCUCUGAUGCAGUGUAAACACCAGGGGGUUGAGAGUUAUUUUUCAAGCAACUAAAAACUACCUACGGAGGAUUAAUAAGUUGUAUUCAACACUUAUCCAUCUACUCAUUAAUUUAAAGGCUACCUUAAAGCUUAGAGGCCAUUGCUUUCCCUAAAGUUCUCUGCACACAAACUACACAGUCUAUUCCUGAUGGUGUAGGGCAGCUCAGAGAUCCUUUUUCUACUACAAAUGGUAUUUUGAUAUUUUACUUGGUAUUUCUAUUAUAAGUCAUGCACCACACGAGCAGUUUCCCCUCUGAGAGCUGCACAUAUGAGCAGAGCCCAAUUCUCAGUGUGAGUGAUGCUGAUAUGUGUGUUUCCCAAAGCCUCAUAUUAACUGAAUUCCCCUGAAAAUGUACAUUCAGCACCUCAGAGAUGGAUUUUACAGCAGUGCUGGACAAGCCUGGCUGUGUCUGUCUGCUCAGGUCACACAUUCAGCACCUCAGAGGUGGAUUUUACAGCAGUGCUGGACAAGCCUGGCUGUGUCUGUCUGCUCAGGUCUCACAUUCAGCACCUCAGAGAUGGAUUUUACAGCAGUGCUGGACAAGCCUGGCUGUGUCUGUCUGCUCAGAUCUCACUCACACACACACACACAGAAGGUGAUGAAAUCAAGGUGUGGCUGCCACUGUCCACCACCAGCCCAAGUG